GAUGAACGCUGGCGGCGUGCCUAAUACAUGCAAGUCGAGCGAACAGACGAGGAGCUUGCUCCUCUGACGUUGGCGGCGGACGGGUGAGUAACACGUGGAGAACCUACCUAUAAGACUGGGAUAACUUCGGGAAACCGGAGCUAAUACCGGAUAAUAUAUUGAACCGCAUGGUUCAAUAGUGAAAGACGGUUUUGCUGUCACUUAUAGAUGGAUCCGCGCCGCAUUAGCUAGUUGGUAAGGUAACGGCUUACCAAGGCAACGAUGCGUAGCCGACCUGAGAGGGUGCUCGGCCAGACUUGAACGGAUACACUGGCCAGGCUCCUACGGGAGGCAGCAGUAGGGAAUCUUCCGCAAUGGGCGAAAGCCUGACGGAGCAACGCCGCGUGAGUGAUGAAGGUCUUCGGAUCGUAAAACUCUGUUAUUAGGGAAGAACAAAUGUGUAAGUAACUAUGCACGUCUUGACGGUACCUAAUCAGAAAGCCACGGCUAACUACGUGCCAGCCGCCGCAGUAA
Molecule: ribosomal RNA, 513 nt
Filed under: uncultured bacterium
Lineage: Bacteria
Description: partial 16S ribosomal RNA
Rfam family: Bacterial small subunit ribosomal RNA
Source: RNAcentral